ACCUUGGAUAGCUCAGUUGGUUGAGUAUGAGACUUUUAAUCUCAAGGUCAUGGGUUUGAGCCCCAUGUUGGGCA
Molecule: non-coding RNA, 74 nt
Organism: Zootoca vivipara (common lizard)
Lineage: Eukaryota; Metazoa; Chordata; Lepidosauria; Squamata; Lacertidae
Source: the annotation of a RefSeq genome assembly